UUAAGCUAUUAACCACAUUAAGUCUCUGAAAGACUGAAUGCACCACAGGUUUUCCCUGUAUAAAGCUGAAAUCUCCUUUGCUUCAUUUUGGGUCUGGAAACGAUUUUACACAACAGGGGAAGUUGGGGUUACUGUUGGAGAGGGUUCAGUGCUCAGCAGGAAAUAGGCUCACCAUAUCUGGAGCACGGACCAGUUUUUAGCCCCAGCAUUAAGAAAGGGAAUGUUGGUAUUUGAGAGGAUCCAAAGGAGGUUGUCCAGAAUGAUCCUGGGGAUAGAAAGUUUUGAGGUGUGUUUGAGAGCUCUAAGCCUGUACUUGCUGGAAUUUUGAAGAAUGAGGGGGAUCUCAUUGAAACCUAUCCGAUAAAAGACCUAGACAGAGUGGAUGUGGAUAGGAUGUUUCCAACUGUAGGGGGAGUCCUGAACCAGAAGGCAUGGUCUCAGAAUAGAAGGACAUCCCUUUAGAACAGAGAUGAGGAGAAAUUUCUUUUGCCAGAGGGUAUUCAUUGCCAGACGGCUGUGGAGGCCAAGUAUUGAGAAUAUUUAAAGCAAGGGUUAAUAGAUAUUUGAUUAAUCAGCAUCAAAGUUUUUGGGUUGAAGACAGGAGAAUGGGGUUGCGAGUUGUAACAGAUCAGCUGUGAUGGAAUGGCGGAGCAGACUCAAUGGGCCAAAUGGCCGAAUUCUAAUCAUAUGUCUUAUGGUCAGAGCGUGAGGCAUCCAGGGUCGAAGGAGGUGGUGAACAUUACUCCGGUUGGCAGCCUCGGCUGUCCCUGAAUAUAUUUAAUGGAAGUGUCAGAACUUGUCGGAGAGUGAAAAAUCACAGAAACAGGCACAUCUGCCAUUGAAUGUAUGCGAAACACUGAUCCUACAUUCUCCCCAUAUCCCCAGCACAGGGCACUCAGAGGAAAACCCACACAGUCCCAGGGAGAACAUGCAAGCUCCACGUAGAAACACUGGAUGUGGGGGUCAAACCCAACCUCUGGAACUGGGAGACAGCUGCCCCACCAUCCCUCCCCGGGUGGGUGUGUUUACAGGCGGGUUGCUCUUGAAAUCCGAGGGGGACCAAUAUUCUUGUGGGCAGGUUUACCUGAGUUGUUGGGAGUAGUUUAAACUAAUAUGAUGGGCGUGGGAAUCAGGACGAUCGAGCUGAGGAUGAGCCAGCAGGUGUACAAGGAGAUGAUGGGAGUAACAUGAAUGUCAGGAAGGACAAGCCAAUGAUUGGGUACAAAUACAAACAGAGCAAAGAGUUAAAUUGUACCACAGAGGCAAAAUACAAAAGGGCAAAGAAUGCAGGACUGAAGGUGUUGUAUUUAAAUGUGCGUAGCAUUCGGAAUAAGGUGGGUGAACUUGCGGCGCAAUUAGAGAUUGGUCAGUAUGACGAUGUGGGCAUCUCUGUGUCGUGGCUGAAAGAAGACUAUAGUUGGGAGUUUAACAUCAAAGGAUACACUUUGUAUCGAAAGGACAGGCAGGAAGGCAUAGGUGGUGGUGUGGCUCUGUUGGUAAGAGAUGGAAUUACAUCUUUAGAAAGAGGUGACAUAGGAUCAGAGAAUGUUGAAUCUUUGUGGGUGGAGUUAAGAAACUGCAAAGGUAAAAAAAACAUGGGAAUCUUAUGAGGGGUGAUUCAUAAGUUCGUGGCCUAAGGUGGAAGGAGUCAAUUUUAGAAAACCUAGCACAUUUAUUUUUCAACAUUUAUUUCCCCUUCCUAUAUUUACACACAGUCCAGCGGUCAUGGAGCAUAUGGCUCUUGGACCUCCAGAAAGUGUCCACAGCAGGGGUAUUUGAUAAGUUUGUGGCCUAGGGUAGAAGGAGAUGAGUUAUACAGCUCUCAUUGCAUGCACAUGCAGGUCAACUCUUUGGGUGAUUAUGCAGAAAGUUUAAGGUUAAUAAUUCAUCUCCUUCUACCUUGGGCCACGAACUUAUCAAUCACCCGAUGAGUUAUUAACUUCAAACUUUCAAUUUUCAAGUAAAUUGUAAAUGGUCUCUGUACUCUCUAUGUAAAAGCAUAGAGGGCUAGUCUGAUACAGACACACAUCUUGGGCACUGUGUACCAGGUACCGUGUGAUCAACUGUAAAAGCAUGAAUGGAUAUUUGGAUAAUUAUGGACCGAGUGAUAAUGGAUCAGAGAUCUGAGCCUCACAACGAGAAUGCACACAACAAGAUGGACAAACAACCAAUGGUGCAAAAGACAACAAAAAGGGGGAAAACUGAAAUAUUAACAAAAAUAAAUAAGCAAUAAAUAUCUUCGCUGAGCAAGACACUAGCAGUGUGCCAGAUGUGAGGGAAGAGAAGUGAGUGCAGCUAGAAGGAGCUCCAAAAACUGAAAGACCUAAGGGUACAUAAGUCACCCGGACCAAAUGAACUGCACCCUCGGGUUCUGAAAGAGGGUUGAGAUUGUGAAGACUGCAGAAGGAUUUAGACAGAUUAGGUAAAUGGGCAAGAAAAUGGCAAAUGAAAUACAUUGUUGGAAAUGCAUGGUCAUGCACUUUAGUAGAAGAAAUAAAUGUGCAGACUAUUUUCUAAAUGGGGAGAAAAUGCAAAAUCUGAGAUGCAAGGAGACUUGAGAGUCCUUGUGUAGAAAAUCCUAAAGUUUAACUUGCAGGCUGUCAAUGGUGAGGAAAGCCAAUGCCAUGUUAGCAUUCAUUUCAAGAAGUCAAGAAUGCAAGAGCAGGGAUGUGAUGCUGAGGCUUUAUAAGGCACUGGUGAGGCCUCACCUUGAGUAUUGUGAACAGUUUUGGGCUCCUCGUCUAAGACAGAGUUUGAUAGGCUCCUGAUUGGGCACAGCAUCAAAACUGAUGGGGAUAAGGCCUGGAAGUGGGCUGAAGAUGGGUAAAAAGGAUCAGCCAUGAUUGAAUGGCAGAAAAAGCUCAAAGCACCAAAUGGGCUAAUUCUACUCCUAUGUCUUAUGGUCUAAAUAUCGAAAACAUGAGACAAGGAGUCCUUAAACUGUGGGAACAGCUCAGUGAUGGAGUGAGUGAAGUCAUCUCCUCUGGUUCAGGAGCCUGAUGGUUGAGGUGUAAUAACUGUUCCUGAAUCUGGUGGUGUGGGUCCUGAGGCUCGUGUGCUUUCUUCCUGAUAGCAUCAGUGAAAAGAGAACAUGUCUUGGUUGGUGGCAAUCCUUGAUAAUGGAUGCUACUUUUCUGUGGCAGUGGGUUCAUGUAGAUGUGCUCAAUGGUGGGAGUGUUUUACCCAUAAUGGACAGGUCAUAUACAGUAUUUUUUAUUGGGUUUUCUAUUGAAGGACACUGGUGUUCCCAUUCCAGGCUGAAGGUGCUGGGCUCUGUCCUAUGUUCUCUGUUAGGACUUUAUUCUCUAUCUGAAUACAAGAGAAUGCAGUGAGUUUUAAUGGAGCAACCAGUCAAUAUGCUCACUACUGUAACACUGUGCAGCUAUCGAAAUUUGGCAAAGUUUUAUUUUUUUAUCAUUUUUAUUGCAACACCAACAAAUUACAUUCAAUACAACCAGUUGCUGAUGAAAUUUUGACUGUUUAACUCAGCCACCCCCCAACCUUCAUCCGCAUCCAUCCCGUCACCCCUCAUCCUUUUCCUCAUCCCCACCCCCCUCUCCACCCCUCUCUCCCUCCCUCUCUACCCCCCAAUCCUUCUCCCCUGAGCCCAGAGUCCUGGGCUUUGGCUAAGUGGGCUUCGGCGUAAGGGGACUUCGGUAAGCCUGUGUGAUUGCUCGCUGAGGGGAAGAAGGUAAGGUUGCUAGGUGCUAUUUAGACUUAUUCUAUUAAUUCAGUUCAGGUAUGGGGGAGACAGUCAGAGCAGUGGUGUGCUCCGUAUGCGGUAUGUGGGAGGUCAGGGUCAACACAGUUGUCCCUGAUGACCACACCUGCAAAAGGUGCGUCCAGCUGCAGCUCCUAUCAGCCCGAGUUAGGGAGUUGGAGCUGGAGCUGGAUGAACUACGGAUCAUUCGGGAGGCAGAGGCAGAGAUAGAUAGGAGUUAUCAGGAGGUAGUCACACCAAAAAACCAAGAAGUAGACAGAUGGGUGACGGUCCAGAGAGGCAGGGGGAGCAGGCAGAGAGAGCAGAGCACCCCUGCGGCCAUUCCCAUUAACAAUAAGUAUACCGUACUGGAUACUGUUGAUGGGGAUGACCUACCAGGAAUGAGUUGUAGUGGUCCUGCCUCUGGCACAGAGGUUGAACCCUCAACUAGAAAGGGGAGGAGGGAAGAGAAGAGAGCGAUAGUUUUAGGGGAUUCUAUAGUCAGGGGGGCAGAUAGGAGAUUUUGUGGGGCAGAUUGGGAGUGUCGGAUGGUAUGUUGCCUCCCUGGUGCCAGGGUCCGGGACAUCUCAGAUCGGGUGCAGGCUAUUCUUGAGAACGAGGGCAUGAACCCAGAUGUAGUGGUCCAUGUAGAGACCAACGAUGUAGGUAAGGUGAGUGAGGGGGUCCUGCUUAGAGAGUUCAGGGAGUUAGGAGUGAAGCUGAAAGGCAGGACCUCCAGGGUGACAAUCUCGGGAUUGUUACCUGUGCCAUGUGCGAGUGAGGCGAAGAGUAGAAUGAUUAUGCAGAUUAAUACGAGGCUGAGAGCAUGGUGCAGGAAGGAAGGGUUCAGGUUUUUGGAUAAUUGGUCUUUGUUCCAGGGACAUUGGGAUCUGUUUCGAAGGGAUGGUCUACAUCUGAACCGGAGGGGUACUAACAUUCUUGCAGGAGUGUUUGCCAGUGCUGCUCGGGGGGGUUUAAACUAGAUGUGCAGGGGGCAGGGAUCCAGAUCCAGAGGGUUGGUCAGAAGGAGCACGGGGUUAAAUGUGUAGAAGGUUUGGGUGAUCUUGAGAAGGUCAUCAAAAUUCAAGGUGCAAUUAGCCCGAUGGAAGUUCAAGGAGCUGGGUUAGGUACAGUAGACAGUGCUUUAAGCAAAGAGAGGAGGAAUGGGCUCAGAAUUCUAUACUUGAAUGUGCGUAGUGUCAGAAAUAAGACAGAUGAGCUUGAAGCUCAGAUGAAAAUGCGGAACUACAAUAUUGUUGGGAUAACGGAGACAUGGCUGCAAGGGGAUCAGGCCUGGGAAAUGAGUGUACCAGGGUAUACGUGCUAUCGUAGAGACAGAAAUAUGGGAAGAGGGGGUGGGGUGGCCCUGUUGGUGAGGAAUGAGAUUCAAUCCUUAGCAAGAGGUGACUUGGGAACAGGGGAAGUAGAGUCUGUGUGGAUUGAGCUGAGGAACAGUAAGGGUAAAAAGACCCUAAUGGGUGUUGUGUACAGGCCCCCAAACAGUAGCGUGGAUAUUGGGUACAAGUUGAUUAGGGAGUUAACAUUGGCAUGUGCUAAAGGUAAUGCAGUCGUUAUGGGAGAUUUCAACAUGCAGGUGAACUGGGAGAAUCAGGUAGGUGCUGGACCCCAGGAUAGGGAGUUUGCGGAGUGUUUAAGGGAUGUAUUUUUGGAACAGCUUGUGCUUGAGCCAACCAGGAACGAGGCUAUUUUGGACUUGGUGAUGUGUAAUGAACAGGAAUUGAUAAGUGAUCUUGAAGUAAAGGAGCCAUUAGGAAGUAGUGAUCAUAACAUGAUAAGUUUUUAUCUACAAUUUGAGAGGGAUAAGGGCAGAUCAGAGGUGUCAGUGUUGCAAUUAAAUAAAGGAGACUACGGAGCCAUGAGGGAAGAGCUGGCCAAAGUUAAAUGGGCAGAUGCCCUGGCAGGAAAGACAGUGGAUCAGCAGUGGCAGAUAUUCUUGGGCAUAAUACAAAAGAUGCAAAAGCAGUUCAUUCCAAUGAGAAGGAAGGAUUCAAAGAGGGGGAAGGGGCCACAGUGGUUGACAAAGGAAGUCAGAGAUUGUAUAGCAUUAAAGAAAAAGAAAUAUGACAGGGCUAAGAUGAGUGGGAAUACAGCUGAUUGGGAAAGUUUUAAGGAACAGCAGAUCUUAACUAAACAAGCAAUACGGAGAGAAAAAAUCAGGUAUGAGCUCAGUCUAGCCAGGAAUAUAAAAGGGGAUAGCAAAAGCUUUUUUAGCUAUGUGAAGAGAAAGAUGAUAGUUAAGAACAAUGUUGGCCCCUUGAAGAAUGAAUUGGGAGAAAUUGUUAUGGGAAACAGGGAAAUGGCAACAGAAUUUAAUGCGUACUUUAGAUCUGUCUUCACCAGGGAGGACACAAGCAAUCUCCCAGAUGUAUGGAUGGGCCAGGGUCAUAAGAUAUCAGAGGAAUUGAGACAGAUUGACAUUAGGAAAGAAACUGUGAUGAGUAGACUGGUAGGACAGAAGGCUAAUAAAUCCCAGGGUCCAGAUGGUCUGCAUCCGAGGGUUCUAAAAGAGGUGGCUCAGGAAAUUGCGGAUGCAUUGGUAAUCAUUUUCCAAUGUUCCUUAGAUUCAGGAUCAGUUCCUGAAGAUUGGAGAGUGGCUAAUGUUAUCCCACUUUUCAAGAAGGGAGGGAAGGAGAAAACGGAGAACUAUCUGUUAGCCUAACGCCAGUCAUGGGGAAGAUGCUUGAGUCCAUUAUUAAGGACGAAAUAGUGGCACAUCUAGAUGGCAGAAAUAGGAUUAGGCCGAGCCAGCAUGGAUUUACCAAGGGCAAAUCAUGCUUGACUAAUCUGUUGACAUUUUUUGAGGGUGUAACACGGAUGUUAGACAAGGGUAAGCCAGUCAAUAAGGUGCCACAUAGGAGAUUGGUGAGUAAAAUCAGAGCUCAUGGCAUUGGGGGCAGGGUUUCAACAUGGAUAGAAAACUGGUUGGCAGAUAGAAAGCAAAGGGUAGCAGUGAAUGGGUGUUUCUCAGACUGGCUGGAGGUGACUAGUGGGGUACCACAGGGCUCUGUAUUGGGACCACAGCUCUUUACGAUUUAUGUCAAUGAUUUAGAUGAGGGCAUUGAAAACUAUAUCAGCAAGUUUGCUGACGAUACAAAACUGGGUGCAGUGUGACAUGCGAAGAGGACAUUAGGAGAAUACAGGGAGACUUGGAUAGGCUGAGUGAGUGGGCAGAUACUUGGCAGAUGUCAUUCAAUGUGAAUAAAUGUGAAGUUAUCCACUUCGGAAGCAGGAACAAGAGGGCAGAGUAUUGUCUGAAUGGUGUAGAGUUAGGUAAGGGAGAAAUGCAAAGAGACCUAGGAGUCCUAGUUCACCAGUCAAUGAAGGUGAAUGAGCAAGUGCAACAGGCAGUGAAGAGGGCAAAUGGAAUGUUGGCCUUUGUUACAAGGGGAAUUGAGUACAAGAGCAAGGAUGUCCUUUUGCAUUUGUACAGGGCCCUGGUGAGACCACACCUGGAAUAUUGUGUACAGUUUUGGUCUCCAGGUUUAAGGAAGGACAUUCUGGCAAUUGAGGAAGUGCAGCGUAGAUUCACUAGGUUGAUUCCUGGGAUGGCAGGGCUGUCUUACGCAGAGAGAUUGGAGAGAUUGGGCUUGUACACGCUGGAAUUGAGGAGAUUGAGAGGGGAUCUGAUUGAAACAUUUAAGAUAAUUAAAGGAUUUGAUAGGAUUGAGGCAGGAAAUAUGUUCCAGAUGUUGGAAGAGUCCAGUACCAGAGGGCAUGGUUUGAGAAUAAGAGGUCAGUUAUUUAAAACAGAGUUGAAGAAGAGCUUCUUCUCCCAGAGAGUUGUGGAGGUGUGGAAUGCACUGCCUCGGAAGACGGUGGAGGCCAAUUCUCUGGAUGCUUUCAAGAAGGAGCUAUAUAGAUAUCUGAUGGAUAGGGGAAUCAAGGGAUAUGGGGACAAGGCAGGGACUGGGUAUUGAUAGUGAAUAAUCAGCCAUGAUCUCAGAAUGGCGGUGCAGCCUCGAGGGGCCGAAUGAUCUACUUCUGCACCUAUUGUCUAUUGUCUAUUGUCCCCUCCACCAACCAACUGAAAAGUAGUGCAUACACAGACAGAGCAUUCCUAUUUUAACAGACCUUUUAAGUUAGAUAAAGUUUGUCAAAGUUUUAGAUGACGUGCUGAAUUGGCACAAACUUCUAAGAAAGUAGAGGUGCUGCCAUUCCUUCUUUGUGAUGUCACUUACGUGCUGGAUCCAGGAUACAUCGUCUGAUAUGGUGAAGCAAACUUCACCAUAUCACUUGAUAUGGUGAAGUACCCUGUACUUCCUCAUCUAAGUAAUUUCUAAAAUUCUCAAAGAAUCCCAGAAAUGUCAAUAAUACAAUUAUCUAAGGGCGAAUCUCUGACCUGAACAUUUUUCUCCAUUUCUUUCCCCACAGAUGCUACCUGACCCACUGAGUAUUCACAAUAAUUUCUGGUUUUGUUUCAGAUUUUCAGCAUCUACAGGAUUUUUUUGAUUUCCCAUAGCGACUAGCAUAAAGCUAUUACAGCAUCAACUGUAAGAUUGAGUUCAAUUCCCACGGCUGUCUGUAAGGAGUUUGUAUGUUCUCCUUGUGACCACAUGAAUAUCUUCCAGCUGCUCCAGUUUCCUCCCACGUGUGGAAGACAUUAGGAUUAGUGAGUUGUGGGAAUGCUAUGUUGACGCUGGAAGAGGAGCAUGGUGACAUCUGUGGGCUGCCCAGAACAAUUUUUGAUUUGGCGCAAACAACAUGAAUCACUGUAUAUUUUGAUGUUCUUGUGCAUGAGUCACAAAAGGUUGGUUUGCAGGUGCAACAGGCUAUCGAGAAAGCAAAUGGAAUGUUGGCCCUCAUUGCUAGAGGGAUUGAAUUCAAGAGCAGGGAGGUUAUGCUGCAGCUAUACAGGGUACUGGUAAGACUGCAACUGGAGUAUUGUGUGCAGUUCUGGUCUCCUUACUUGAGGAAGGAUAUACUGACUUUGGAGGCGGUGCAGAGGAGGUUCACCAGAUUGAUUCUGGAGAUCAGGGGAUUAGACAAUGAGGAGAGAUUGAGUUACAUGGGGCUGUACUCGCUGGAAUUCAGAAGGAUGAGAGGAGAUCUUAUAGAAAUAUAAAAUUAUGAAAGGGAUGGAUAAGAUGGAGGCAGGAAAGUUGUUUCCACUGGUAGGUGAGACUAGAACUUGGGGACAUAGCCUCAAGAUUCAGAGGAGUAGAUAGCACGGAGAUGAGGAGGAACUGCUUUUCCCAGAGAGUGGUGAAUCUGUGGAAUUCUCUGCCCAAUGAAGCAGUGGAAGCCAGAUCAGUAAAUAUAUUUAAUACAGGGUUGAAUAGAUUUUUGCAUAGUAGGGAAUUAAGGGUUUUGGGGAAAAGGCAGGUAGGUGGAGAUGAAUCCAUGACCAGAUCAGCCAUGAUCUUAUUCAAUGUCAGAGCAGGCUCGACAGGCCAGAUGGCCGACUCCUGGUCCUAUUCCUUAUGUUUUUAUAUACAUGUCACAAAUAAAACUAAUUCUUAAAUCUUUAAUUAUAUAAUAAUUAUUAUAUAAUAUAAUUAUGGAGAAGGAUAGGUCUGGACCCAGGGUUGAGAUUUUUGAUUGGAGAAAGGCUAACUUUGAGGAGAUGUGAAAAGAUUUAGGAGUGGAUUGGGACAAUUUGUUUUAUGGUGUUCCGUACCCCGUAACUGGGUUUACAGACCAGCAGAAAUAGAAGAAUCCAUUGGAGUCUGGUGGUACCGAAAACUAAAGGUGUUAUUAGUAAACUGCACAAUACAGUAUCAAAAAUGCAAAUAUACAUAUAAAACAGGUUAGCAGUAAUAAACAUAGAAGUGUAGGAAUAAUAUUCAACAAUAAUAAACAAGCUCUAUCGAUGUCUGGGGGUAAAUGAAUUGUCAUAGAAAAGUAUAAAGUUCAGUUCAGUUCAUGUGUGCUGAGGUAGUUGCAGUUGUUGUAUUGUAAUUCGUUGGAGAGAGAGAGAGAGUGAGAGAUUGAGCAGCUGCAGCCAGCAAACCUUCUGUUGUAUUCUGAUUCCGUUGUACCAUUAUGGUCAAUCAGUUAUGACCCCUCCGUUCUCAGCCAGACCGUUCUUCUGUGGUGGACUCGUCACUCUGGCAUGAGUGGACAAACGCACAAGUCCCCACCGGCCCUGCCGUCACACUGUGAGCUUUAUUGACCGAUCUCCUGGUUCGGUCUCUGAAACCCCCACCUUUCUGUGGGUUCACAACACUCAGUCAGUGUCCACUGGUGUGUCUGCGGGUGUCUCCCCAGACCUGUCUUUUAUCCCCAUUGACGGGGUAUCAGCCAUCCAUCAACUCAAAAUGACCAUGUCCAUCAAAUCAGGCCACUCCUGCUGUCUCCUGAGGAAUGUUAAUGAGCAAAGUUAUGUCCUUGUAGUGAAAGGUAAACAAUCCAGGAAGAGCCAAAAUACAAUAAAUCAACAGUCUCUCUCUGUUAUCUGUAGCAGAUGUCUCUGCCUCUGUGCUUCAUCUCUCUUUCUCAUUAGCAGCAUAGCAACAGCAAUAGUCCAUAGUUCUCAAGGGGGGAGGGGAAUGGUUAACUCUGCACCCUAUUUCCAUCAGGUCUGUUCAUCAUUCAUAACAAUGGAAGGAUGUGAUCGAGAAAUGGAGGUCAUUUAAAGGUGAAAUUUUGAAGAGCCAGGCCUCGAGAACCGAACGACAAAUCAGACAGGAAUUCCAGAAACUUCACUCUUUUCUUCACACGGAGGAGAC
This is an RNA transcript of Hypanus sabinus (Atlantic stingray), 10389 nucleotides long. It is a transcript of the gene named zinc-binding protein A33-like, with no coding region annotated. The record is from RefSeq and is a predicted model, not a curated record. Lineage: Eukaryota; Metazoa; Chordata; Chondrichthyes; Myliobatiformes; Dasyatidae. The transcript is spliced from 2 exons.